This 1213-nucleotide ribosomal RNA is filed under the name insect metagenome. RNAcentral's name for it is "bacterial LSU rRNA". It matches the Rfam family "Bacterial large subunit ribosomal RNA", at positions 1536 to 2760 of the family's 2925-position model. The record is from RNAcentral.
GACCAUCUAGCGACCUCCACAGUGACGAACGAGAUAUGUUGUCAGCUCUUAUCGGAUUGAGCUGGCUUUUGGACCGUUCCAGGAAACAGCUCUGGCAUAUAGACCGUACCCGAAACCGACACAGGUGGACUGGUAGAGUAUACCAAGGCGCUUGAGAGAACGAUGCUGAAGGAACUAGGCAAAUUGCUCGUGUAACUUCGGAAGAAACGAGACCCGUUGGUGGGCAACCAUCGGCGGGUGGCACAGACCAGGGGGUAGCGACUGUUUANNAAAAACACAGGACUCUGCGAAAUCGAAAGAUGACGUAUAGGGUCUGACGCCUGCCCGGUGCCGGAAGGUUAAGAGGAGAUGUGCAAGCGUCGAAUCGAAGCCCCGGUAAACGGCGGCCGUAACNAUAACGGUCCUAAGGUAGCGAAAUUCCUUGUCGGGUAAGUUCCGACCUGCACGAAUGGCGUAAUGAUGGCGGCGCUGUCUCCACCCGAGACUCAGUGAAAUUGAAAUCGCUGUGAAGAUGCAGUGUAUCCGCGGCUAGACGGAAAGACCCCGUGAACCUUUACUGUAGCUUUGCACUGGACUUUGAACCUGUUUGUGUAGGAUAGGUGGGAGGCUAUGAAGCGUGGACGCUAGUUCAUGUGGAGCCGACCUUGAAAUACCACCCUGACAUGUUUGAGGUUCUAACUCUGGCCCGUAAUCCGGGUUGAGGACAGUGUAUGGUGGGCAGUUUGACUGGGGCGGUCUCCUCCAAAAGAGUAACGGAGGAGUACGAAGGUGCGCUCGGCGUGGUCGGAAAUCACGCUAAGAGUAUAAAGGCAAAAGCGCGCUUGACUGCGAGACAGACAAGUCGAGCAGGUACGAAAGUAGGUCUUAGUGAUCCGGUGGUUCUGAAUGGAAGGGCCAUCGCUCAACGGAUAAAAGGUACUCCGGGGAUAACAGGCUGAUACCGCCCAAGAGUUCAUAUCGACGGCGGUGUUUGGCACCUCGAUGUCGGCUCAUCACAUCCUGGGGCUGAAGCUGGUCCCAAGGGUAUGGCUGUUCGCCAUUUAAAGUGGUACGUGAGCUGGGUUUAGAACGUCGUGAGACAGUUCGGUCCCUAUCUGCCGUGGACGUUUGAGAUUUGAGAGGGGCUGCUCCUAGUACGAGAGGACCGGAGUGGACGAACCUCUGGUGUUCCGGUUGUCACGCCAGUGGCAUUGCCGGGUAGCUAUGUUCGGAA